CAAGCACUAGCCCACCCCUCCCCUCUCCCAAUCCACACAAAUAACUAAAAUAAAACAUUUUUCCACUAUUAAAGUAUAGGAGAUAGAAAUUUUCACUUGGCGCUAUAGAGAAAGUACCGUAAGGGAAAGAUGAAAGACAAGCUAUAAGCAAAAAACAGCAAAGAUUACCCCUUUUACCUUUUGCAUAAUGAUUUAACUAGAACAAUUUAGCGAAGAGAACUUAAGCUAAAUACCCCGAAACCAGACGAGCUAUCUAUAAACAGCCUGACAGGGCAGACCCGUCUAUGUGGCAAAAUAGUGGGAAGAUUUAUAGAUAGAGGUGAAAAGCCUACCGAGCCUGGUGAUAGCUGGUUGUCCAGAACAGAAUAUUAGUUCAAAUUUAAACUUACCUAAAAAACCCAUAAUUCCAAUGUAAGUUUAAAAAAUAGUCUAAAAGGGGACAGCUUUUUAGACACAGGAUACAACCUUUAUUAGAGAGUAAGCAUUAUUGACAUCAUAGUUGGCCUAAAAGCAGCCAUCAAUUGAGAAAGCGUUAAAGCUCAACAGUAAAAUCACCCUGAUACCAAAAACAUAUAACCAACUCCUAAUGUGCAACUGGACCAUUCUAUUAAUAAAUAGAAGAG
This 623-nucleotide ribosomal RNA is filed under the name Aselliscus stoliczkanus (Stoliczka's trident bat). RNAcentral's name for it is "partial 16S ribosomal RNA". The stretch from base 157 to 623 matches the Rfam family "Bacterial large subunit ribosomal RNA", at positions 569 to 1227 of the family's 2925-position model. The record is from RNAcentral. Lineage: Eukaryota; Metazoa; Chordata; Mammalia; Chiroptera; Hipposideridae.